Pseudopipra pipra is the source of this 5797-nucleotide long non-coding RNA. RefSeq lists it as uncharacterized. The record is from RefSeq and is a predicted model, not a curated record. Lineage: Eukaryota; Metazoa; Chordata; Aves; Passeriformes; Pipridae. The transcript has 3 exons.
CAGUAUUAUAAUUUUUCUUCUGGGAAAUGAGUAAAUAUGUUUUUUAUAUAUUAUAAUAUAUACAUUACGUGUCUAAGUAUGCUCUAACCUACACCAAUACUUUCUGUAAUACACUAGCUCUUCCUAUUCCUUUCUUUUUUGUGGUAUAGCAGAUGAACCAAGAUGACCUCAUGCUACAGCUUUGCUCCUCUGGAAAAAUGAAGCUGUCAACAACAUCGGAAAAGACUCGUAACCACAGGAAACAAAACGUUCACAGAAGCUGGACUAAGACUAUGGAACUUGUUGCCAGACAAAAUAGGAAUGACCAGCACAUGUGCCACACUAAACAUUCAGUGCAAGAACCUAAUUAUUCAACUUAACUUUCCCUUGAUAGUCUUUUCAAGCAUCCUUAGACUAAAUGCUUUUUUGGUUAUAAGACUAUGAAAAGCUCAAAAAUGUUAAGAGGUUGAAAAAAAUGGCAAGCUCACAUGUAAUGUCCCUGGAAAAUGGCUAGACAUUACAGCAACAGUCUGAUACAAUCCUGGAUAAAUAGGUUAUUACUAAAAAAAAUAAAUAAAGCAGAUAAUCUUUUCCUGUCUGUAGGAGUGGCAGUAUUUUGAAACAUUGCUAAUGCCAUGUAUGAUCUUGCAAGCCCUGUAUAAUCCAUUUAUAUGUAUUAUUAUUUCUUAAUAAUUCUCCAGAAAAUAUCAAUCAAAUUGUUGGGCAGUAAACAGUAUGUAUGUACUGUCUGUAGUGACUUCAUGUUAUGUGUUCCUCCUAAAAAGUGCCAUAUAAUGGCAUGUACAGAUACAGAGUAAGCAGCUGUAGUUGGUGCUCUCCUAUACUUUUAAUUUUUCACCCUCUUAUGUGGUUAUGCCCAAAACCUCACAGUGCCAAUUAAGUUUAAACCGUAACAACUUAAUUUAAUUUAAUGACCAAUAGCAAUAUUUCCAUAUAUGUCGAGCCUCAUGCCAGUCUUCAGUAAAGUUCACUGAAGCACUGACUUGCAAUGAAGAUGGUCCCUCAAAAAAGUUGCUGAAAUAAGCCAUCAAUUUAAAAGAUGCUUUCCCCUUUCCCAAACUGUCUUGUGGAAACAGCUGCUAAAAGUAUUCAGAUAAAGAUUGCUGUCACAAUCACUGCAUGCUUGAUAUUAGAAAAUGGGCUGAAUCUUCCCAAGAGAAUAGUAAUGCUUUUGCUUGAAACAAUCUAAACCCAGAAGUGUCUGAUUUCACUUGUUCCAUCUACCGUGAAAGACAGAUACAAAUGCUGUGAGACUUGCGUGGUGUUUGGAUGUUAGUGUGGGGUUAGCCUAAUUCUCCUUUUUCCUGAGUCACAUACCAAAAUCUUCAUGUGAUCAAAAGCCACAGAGGAUGCGGACUGUCUGUGCAGGGGAUUGGGAGGUCCUGGAGUGAUUCAUAGACAGUAGCUGACAAAGCUCCCAGAGGGCUCAUUAAUUUACAGUGGAGAAGGUCUAGCUCAUGCCAGCCAUGCUGCUGGAUCCCUGAGCAGCCCAUUGAUUUUGGCGUUAGCAGCUGCUCCUGGCUCAUUUCCUUCCAUGGCCAGACAUUUGAAUUCCUCGUCAUUUUUUGUCAGCACAGUCUUCUGACUGGCCCUGCAAUUCAGCUAUUGACUUGGGCCUGUGCUUAACCAUUUGUGCAGGGCUGUGCUUGGUGUGCUGGCAGUUCAAGGAGGGUGUAGGCUACUACUGAUGAACCUGUUAGGAACCCAGAGAGAAAGGAACUGAGCCAACAGAAUGGUCAUGUACUUCAGCCUGUGAGGAAAAAAACAAGUAUAUUACUCUCCCUUUAAAUAAACUAAUUGGGCUUUUUGUUGUGACCUACAGGAACAUAACCAGAGUUGCACAAAUUACUUUUCUUAAGACUGAUGGAAGCUGGCAGAAAGCCCUGGGAAGCCAUCUCUGAUGUGUGCAAAGCUGAACAAACCCCAGCACUUGAAGUACUUGAAGGCGAAUGGUACAUAAAUCCAUGGUAGUUUAGACUUGGUAAGAAGGAAGGAAUUGAAGUUAAAAAAAUCAACUCUGACCAUAAACAGUGUAAAAGCAUAACUUUAAAGUGAACAGAGAUCAGCAAUUAAAACUGUUGGGUACCAACUUUUCUCUCAGGAAAUAUGAGAGCAGAACCUGAGUAAAUAAGAUGAGUACCUUUGCAGCAGCUGGUUGUGUAUUCUACAGAAAUCAUCAGUUGUGGUUCAGGACCAAGCCCAGCCAGAGGAUAUAGAGGGCUUGGAAUCAAGGAACUAAGGAAUAAUAUGUGCUUAUUUGACAUAGUACCCUAGCAACAAGUUGUUACGUUGCAGAAGCACUGCUCCCCUGGUGAAAACCAACAUAGCAUAACUGUGCACUGGUACAGAGCAAGAGAAGUGGAGGAUGGUUUGAUUAAGCCUUCUAAUUGCAAUUGAUACCCUCUCAUUCAUGUGUUGAAAGGGACAGGGACUUCUUUAUGGUACUUGUAAUUUUGUGAGAUGACUGACUACUCCAAACUGAAGUGGAAAACUGAAGAAAACCACAAACCUCGUAAUUAGGGUAAGGAUGCUUACUAGCAUUUUGUGGAUGUGAUUCACCGUCUUGCACUUGCUGACUGGCUAUUUGAGUCUGGUAACAUCGCUUGCAUCAUGAGGUGACCUGGAGCUGGGAACAUUUGGGUGCACAGGAACCUUUCCCCAACCUUACGGGAGACAGGUGCAUCGUGGAUAAAAUGAGUAAAUGCUGAAUGCUGCUUGUACAACUUGUGAAAGAGCAGAGAAGAGUAGGCAAGUUAAUGCAAUUAUUUAUAUUAUUUUAAAGAUACUUUCUUGGACUGGACGCAGCCUUACAGAGCCAAGUCAAGGAAUAUUUGACAGAAGAAAUGUCUCUACCAAUGUUAUGUGGCCUUGUGAUUCUUGCUGUCUUUAUUGUGGCCUUUACUGAUUUGGAAGUCCCUUGCUAGAUGUUCAGUAGUCGUUGCUAGACUGAUUAUCACAGAAUCAUAGAAUGUUUAGGGUUGGACGAGACCUUAAAGAUCAUGUAAUUCCAACCCCCCUGCCAUGGGCAGGGAUACCUUCCACAAGACCAGGUUCCUCAGAGCUCUGUUCAACCUGACCUUGAACACUGCCAGGGAUGGAGCACCCACAAUUUCUCUGGGCAACCUGUUUCAGUACCUCAGCACCCUCACAAUAAAAAAUUUCUUCUGUAUGUCUAACCUAGAUUUCCCCUCUUUCAGUUUGAAGACAUUCCCCCUUGUUCUGUCACUACAGUUCCUGAUGAAGAGUCCCUCUCUGGCUUUCCUGUGGGCCCCUGCGGAUACCAGAUGGUGAUGCAAUUAUACAAUCUUCCCUUCUUCGGGUUGAACAGCCCCAACUCUCUCAGCCUGUUUGCAUAGGGGAGGUGCUCUAGUCCCCUUAUCAACUUCAUAGCCCUCCUCUGGACUUGCUCUAACAGCUCCAUGUCCUUCUUUACGCUGGGGGCACCAGACCUGAACACAAUAUUCCAGGUGGGAUCUCAUGAGAGUGAUCUGUAAGACUUUUAGGAAAGAAACUUGUUACUGUAGAUAUAUUUAAAAAUCCAAACAAACAAAAUCCAGAAAACAAAACCCAAACCCUUUGCUUCCUAAAAAUAAAGUGUUGAAAGUGGUCUUUUCAAACAGUGUUAGAAAUAAUUUCUCCUUCUAAAUGUUCAGAAAUUUAACUAUUUUAAAAUAUAUAAUGAGAGAUGGGCUCUUGUGAAAGUGCGUGCUGUUUCUUUUCCUUGGAAAUUCAUCUUCUUUUGUCAUGACAUUUUGCUUAGGUUAAUGGUGUCCCUGCAGUAGAGUACUGUGCAUGUUCCUCAGCAUGGGUGGGGAGUCAGAUAGCCAAUUAUUUAAAAGAAACAACGGUUGAAUUAUUAGGUUAGAUGAAAACCAGAUUAUCAUAAUACAUAAAUUACAUGAGCACUUUAGAGUGCGUGAUGCUGAAUAGCUGUUUGGAUCUGCUAUCAAGUUCUGAGGCAUUUUGUGUGAAAUGCUGAUUCGUGCUUGGCUGUUCCCUGCAAUGCUUGCACACAGGGCAAGGAGAGGAACGCUGAGUACUUCCCUGCUCAGAGCACUGUGCUUCUAAUUUUGUGGUCUUUUCUUGGAUGUGACACCUAGAAAGGGGCAGAUUACAUUACCAGUUAAUGAGCUGCAGAAUGAUAUGCAGUGCUUUUUGGGCUACUCUCCUUUCUGAUGCUUAAUAACUCUACAUACAAAACUGGGACAAGAACUUAACUUACUCUUUGCCAUCCAUCAAAACAACAUGAGUUGCAUUUAUUGAGGGGAGAAAGAUUUGACAGGGGAAAAAACGAAGUGGUAGAAAUUGUAGACCAACCAGGUGCAAGCUGGCUGCCUAAAUGCAUGCAACUCAAAUGGCAUAAAAGUUUCUCUACAGGCAUAUUGGGUGGUCAGAUUGUCAUUGGAAUUAUAUGGCUUGGAAUCAGAAAUAUCUCCAUUUUCUCCUCUGAAUUUACUCCAGAUUCACACAAGUGUAACUGAGAUAAAAUAAUUAAUUAUAAACUGUCAGAUUCUUUCUUAUUUUCACUGCAGCCAGGAGCCAAGACAUAGCUUGACUCAUGUUGGAAAAUGAGACCAUGCUUGCAGUCUUUGCUGGUUAAUAGCAAGGAAAGAGCUCUGUGCUUGUUUAAUUAAUUUGCUCUUUACCAAGAGAGCUAUUUCAAUGUUGUGCCUGUGUCUAGUAAUCGAGUUUGAUUUCUCAGUGUCUCAUUCAAACUACAUCUUGUGAAAAUUUUUGCCUUCUAACAAAAACUUGACUGUUGCACAUGUGUGCUUGCUGCCUUGCUGCUCACUGGAAGGUGGUAUUUACUGAACUGAAGAGCUUAAAGGCUCUGUCAAGGUGGAGAGGUAAAUGUGAUCUGUACUACGCCUUGAGGCAAGGUUCGUUAAUUAUUUUUCUCCUGGAAAUCAUGUUGACAGGCAGAUGGCAUGUGCUCAAAUCUCACCCUGACAUGGAGCCUGGACAGAGUCGGGUUGGGAUAUAUCUGGGUCUGGGAGAUGGUGAGUGAUUCCAGGUCCUGUAUUUAAGACAUAGUCUUAGACCUGGCAACUUCAGAUGUUAAUAUCAGGCUUGUGAUAUUGCUUUUUGCCUACAAAGUCUAUUUCUGCCUUUGUCAGGUUUAGCAGUUCUCCUGUGUCCUGUUCAUAUGCUGUAAUUCUUUUGACUUGCUAAUUCAGACCAGCUGAUAAAGAGGAAUUUUUUGAGCACAGCCUUGUCACUGUAGGGGUGGAAGCUACUAUUCAUGUAUUCAAUUUCAUCUCUACAGAUACUCAUUUGAUUUUAAUUCUCUUAUAACAUAUAAAAACAUAAGAAGGGCCUGUUGGAUCAGAUCAGUAGAGAAAGAGAUUUUGUUUAGGAGGGUCAUGCGAGCCUGACCCCUCUUUGCAGACUAUUCCUCUCCCAUCAACAUUCACAGUUGUUGGACUAGGAAUGCUAGGGGAUACAUCCAUGCCAUCUGUUCAAUUGUAGUGAUGUUUCUUGUUGUAUUUUGUAGCAAUGAAUAUUUUAAUUAUAGUUUGAAAUUUGACUGUAUCACAGUAAGUGUAGAUGGUGUUUGGGAUAUGCCCUUCCAGUCUUAAAUUCUGUGUAAAUCAGUUUCUUAAUUUUGUGUUAUAAUUCUGUGUUUCAACAAUUUAUUUGGACUCUGAGCACUCACCAAAUAUUUCAUACUCAGUUAUAGUCCACUGUUAGCAAAACUGCAAUUGAACUGUGCUGUUAGCACUGUCUAGCAACUGUGUCUUUCCCAUUUCAUCCUUUUUCUCCUGUGUAACAAUAAAAAGGCUUUUCUUUAGUUUUA